Molecule: non-coding RNA, 1223 nt
Organism: Zonotrichia albicollis (white-throated sparrow)
Lineage: Eukaryota; Metazoa; Chordata; Aves; Passeriformes; Passerellidae
Source: RefSeq, a predicted model, not a curated record
GUUGGCUGCUGUGAGGACAAGGUAGAGCCAGUGCCUGGAGGAGCUGCCUACAAUGAACAUCAAGGAGAGGUGAAGGAGGGAAUUUGGCACUGCAACUGCCUGUGCUACACCGGAUGUUCACAGGAAACACCGCCUCAACACAUCACACAACCAGUGCUAUGUGGAGUAAGUGCCUGACUAGCGAAACCCAAUUGCCCAGGAAUCCUGGAAGAGAUUAUGGACUGGCCAGAGGCAGGGAUUUGGAGCCUUGCCUGAGAAGGUGACUCAUGCCCAAAAUGCACCACCAUGUAAUGAGUUAUCAGAAGAUGCAAAAGGCUCUGCUGUAUUUAGUGAUGGAACCUGCUGUGGUAGGAAACCAUCGGAAAGCUGCAGUGUGGAGUCCCACAGGACAAGUCAUUGAGACUGCUGAAGCAAAGCUGAAAAGGGAAGCAAUGGAGCAGCUUGGUGGGCACUGGCAUUCAGACAAAGUCAACCCAACACUGUGCAUUUUUGCACCCAUUGUGGGCUUACUGUCUGUGACUGCAGGCUAUGUUUUUUAUUUUGGUUCUAUAUCUCUAAGGUGCUGUAUUUGUGAAGACUGUAACAUCCUGCAUAGCUUCAUAUAAACCAGGGAGCAGUAGCAUACUUUGGAUAAGUGUGCACCGUCUGUGCAUGAGGUAAAUAUGAAAUAAAUUUGGGGUUAUUAUGUAUUCAGAAUUUUAGAGAAAUAAAUAUUUGCAAAGGGAAACAAAGGUAGGGAUAUACCGGUUUGUUGUGUUGUUUUUGUUUUGUUUUUUUUUAAGAGAAGUAAUUUGAAAAGGAAUGAAGUUCGCUUUGAGGUAGUGAAAAUUUCCUAAAUGAAUAGAAUCAAAGUUAUUAGAAGAAAAGAGCCAUUCAUGCUCAUAAAAAGGAGAUGUGAUAAAUUCACACUGUUCAUCACAUACCCAUGAUUUUGUUUCAAGUCUUCCUCCACUCCUCAAAAAGUUCAGAUAUACUUCAGUUUCAAAGGGAAAUAACUGCAGGACUUUAUUCAUUAAAAAAGCAUUGACCACUACAGUGAAGUUAAUUCCUCUCAUCACUUGCAUUAGACAUUUUUUGAAGCACAUAUUCAAGUAUAUGCUUUCAUUUUCUUCAAACUAAUUCCUAUUCUGAAAAGAAAAUACUGACUGUCAAUGCUAUUGCCUCAAAGGAAGAAUCAGAUUCUCAUUAUUUUUUACACAGAAAAGAAAAAAACGCCCCACAAC